This 253-nucleotide ribosomal RNA is filed under the name uncultured bacterium. Its description in RNAcentral is "partial 16S ribosomal RNA". It matches the Rfam family "Bacterial small subunit ribosomal RNA", at positions 524 to 776 of the family's 1533-position model. The record is from RNAcentral.
UACGUAGGGGGCUAGCGUUGUCCGGAAUCAUUGGGCGUAAAGAGCUCGUAGGCGGUCUGUUACGUCUGCUGUGAAAACCCAGGGCUUAACCCUGGGCUUGCAGUGGAUACGGGCAGACUAGAGGCAGGUAGGGGAGAAUGGAAUUCCCGGUGUAGCGGUGAAAUGCGCAGAUAUCGGGAGGAACACCGGUGGCGAAGGCGGUUCUCUGGGCCUGACCUGACGCUGAGGAGCGAAAGCGUGGGGAGCGAACAGG